This is a long non-coding RNA of Anneissia japonica, 641 nucleotides long. RefSeq lists it as uncharacterized. The transcript is spliced from 4 exons. The record is from RefSeq and is a predicted model, not a curated record. NCBI's taxonomy places the organism in Eukaryota, Metazoa, Echinodermata, Crinoidea, Comatulida, Comatulidae.
UGUAGCUCCUGUGAUUAUGGAUUCACACGAACGAACGAGGAUGUCUUCAAAUAUCAAGUUAAAGGAAUGCAACCAAACAAGUUUUUCAAGUCCAUGGCUGCUUGUGAGAGGGGACUGCUAUCUAUGUUAUAUGUACUGUGUGUGUGUAUGUAUUAUGGACUUUAUUGCGACACUCUGAAAUUGAUCUCUUUCUCCUCUGCACGGUAUAAAUGGACACAUUUGGACAAUGUGUGAAGAUCUGGAGUUACCACUGAGCUCGAUCUAUAUACAGUAGAUUAUAGUAAUCUGUACAUUUGAUGCUUUGUUUAUUGGCGUCAGCAUUUUGGUAAAGCAAAAUUGGUACAGUUAGGCCUACGUGAAAGUAAUGCUCCUCAUCAAGCGGUUUGACGAACGCCAUCGAACCCAAUCAUCAGACAUAAUUGCCAAUAAUAAUAUGGAUUCGAGAUAUUCAGUAAUAGGCCAUGGUUGAGGCACAUUGGAUGAUGAAUAAACAGAACAUUCCUUUAGCAACUGUUUGAAUCAGAAAAUUUAACUCAACAACAUGUAGGUGACUAACGCUGCAAGACAUCGCUUCGAGCAUCCAAGCAUCAAACCAAAUAUACUUACGGUCACCUUUCAUGGAUAUGCGAAACCUGAAUCUG